AUAACAGGGGUGCUGGUGCACAGUCGGCUGAGAUGGCGGUAUUCCGCCGAACCCUUAAACCUGAUGCGGAUAAUGCCGCCGUAGGAAGUCUGAAC
RNAcentral lists this non-coding RNA (95 nucleotides) under human gut metagenome. Its description in RNAcentral is "TPP riboswitch (THI element)". It matches the Rfam family "TPP riboswitch aptamer (THI element)", at positions 9 to 90 of the family's 105-position model. Rfam says of the family: Vitamin B(1) in its active form thiamin pyrophosphate (TPP) is an essential coenzyme that is synthesised by coupling of pyrimidine and thiazole moieties in bacteria. The record is from RNAcentral.